UCGUCACACUAUCAUUAACUGAAUCCAUAGGUUAAUGAGGCGAACCGGGGGAACUGAAACAUCUAAGUACCCCGAGGAAAAGAAAUCAACCGAGAUUCCCCCAGUAGCGGCGAGCGAACGGGGAGGAGCCCAGAGCCUGAAUCAGCAUGUGUGUUAGUGGAAGCGUCUGGAAAGGCGCGCGAUACAGGGUGACAGCCCCGUACACAAAAGCGCAUAUGCUGUGAGCUCGAUGAGUAGGGCGGGACACGUGGUAUCCUGUCUGAAUAUGGGGGGACCAUCCUCCAAGGCUAAAUACUCCUGACUGACCGAUAGUGAACCAGUACCGUGAGGGAAAGGCGAAAAGAACCCCGGCGAGGGGAGUGAAAAAGAACCUGAAACCGUGUACGUACAAGCAGUGGGAGC
Molecule: ribosomal RNA, 402 nt
Filed under: Salmonella enterica subsp. enterica serovar Senftenberg
Lineage: Bacteria; Pseudomonadati; Pseudomonadota; Gammaproteobacteria; Enterobacterales; Enterobacteriaceae
Also listed under: 1 other name
Description: partial 23S ribosomal RNA
Rfam family: Bacterial large subunit ribosomal RNA
Source: RNAcentral